This 452-nucleotide ribosomal RNA is filed under the name uncultured bacterium. RNAcentral describes it as "bacterial SSU rRNA". It matches the Rfam family "Bacterial small subunit ribosomal RNA", at positions 29 to 526 of the family's 1533-position model. The record is from RNAcentral.
AACGAACGCUGGCGGCAUGCCUAACACAUGCAAGUCGAACGAGGGCUUCGGCCCUAGUGGCGCACGGGUGAGUAACGCGUGGGAACCUGCCCUGUGGUACGGAAUAACUCCGGGAAACUGGAGCUAAUACCGUAUGUGUCCUGCGGGACAAAGAUUUAUCGCCAUGGGAUGGGCCCGCGUAGGAUUAGCUUGUUGGUGGGGUAACGGCCUACCAAGGCAACGAUCCUUAGCUGGUCUGAGAGGAUGAUCAGCCACACUGGGACUGAGACACGGCCCAGACUCCUACGGGAGGCAGCAGUGGGGAAUAUUGGACAAUGGGCGCAAGCCUGAUCCAGCAAUGCCGCGUGAGUGAUGAAGGCCUUCGGGUUGUAAAGCUCUUUCGCACGCGACGAUGAUGACGGUAGCGUGAGAAGAAGCCCCGGCUAACUUCGUGCCAGCCGCCGCCGUAACAC